This 468-nucleotide ribosomal RNA is filed under the name uncultured bacterium. RNAcentral's name for it is "partial 16S ribosomal RNA". It matches the Rfam family "Bacterial small subunit ribosomal RNA", at positions 28 to 507 of the family's 1533-position model. The record is from RNAcentral.
GACGAACGCUGGCGGCGUGCUUAACACAUGCAAGUCGAACGGAAAGGCCCUGCUGUUGUGGGGUGCUCGAGUGGCGAACGGGUGAGUAACACGUGAGUAACCUGCCCUUGACGUUGGGAUAACUUCAGGAAACUGGGGCUAAUACCGGAUAGGAGCUCCUGCUGCAUGGUGGUGGUUGGAAAGUUUCGGCGGUUGGGGAUGGACUCGCGGCUUAUCAGCUUGUUGGUGGGGUAGUGGCUUACCAAGGCUUUGACGGGUAGCCGGCCUGAGAGGGUGACCGGCAAAAUUGGGACUGAGAUACGGCCCAGACUCCUCCGGGAGGAAGAAGUGGGGAAUAUUGAACAAUGGGCGGAACCCUGAUGCAGCAACGCCGCGUGCGGGAUGACGGCCUUCGGGUUGUAACCCGCUUUCGCAUGUGACGAAGCGUGAGUGACGGUAAUGGGUAAAGAAGCACCGGCUAACUACGUG